CAAGUCCUCGUGUCCCACCUCCCACUCCCUUCCCCAAAUCCCUCACUCUCGAUUCCCUAUUCUCUCCAGAGAGGAAUCACCGCCGCCGACCUCCUCCCGCCGAUAGCGACGGAGGCGGACGUCGGGCUGGGUCGGACACCCACAUGGAAGGAGCGGGAGAACAACAAGCGUCGCGAGCGCCGGCGCCGGGCCAUCGCCGCCAAGAUCUUCAUCGGCCUCCGCACGCUCGGCAGCUACAAGCUCCCCAAGCACUGCGACAACAACAAGGUGCUCAAGGAGCUCUGCCGCGAGGCCGAAUGGGUCAUGGAGGACGACAUCACCACCUACCGCAAGGGAUACAAGCCGCCGUCAUCCAGGCCGUUCGGUGGGGUCUCGUCGGUGGGCAUGAGCCCCUGCUCAUCCUCGCAGCUGCUCAGUGCACCGUCGUCGGCGUUCCCGAGCCCGGUGCCUUCCUACCACCCCAGCCCGGUGUCAUCCAGCUUCCUAAGCCCCACGCACCUCGAGAACCCCAGCCCUGCCUACCUCCUCUCGUUCCUCCGUGGCCUCCCCAACCUGCCCCUGCUCCGGGUCUCCAACAGCAAGGUAGUGUCAAACCCACAUCCUCGCUGCCAUCUU
RNAcentral lists this ribosomal RNA (615 nucleotides) under Triticum aestivum (bread wheat). Its description in RNAcentral is "partial small subunit ribosomal RNA". The record is from RNAcentral. Lineage: Eukaryota; Viridiplantae; Streptophyta; Magnoliopsida; Poales; Poaceae.